AUAUGAGUCACAUGAAGAGAGAGAAAUUAAUAUAGUAUUUGAUAGACACCUUGAGGGGUUUAACCAUUGAGUUAUAGAGGGCAUCCUACAGGUGCUCUUGAUCGAUGGAGUUUCAACGCAAGUAUUCGUGCAACACUGCAACUGAAACCCUUGAGUGGAUUAAAGCAAUUUUAGAUUUCUUGAAACCCUUCAAAUUCUUCUUCGAAGCUAAUGUGGUCAAUUUCCUCAAGAGUCGGCUGUGGGAUUUUGUUGAUAAAGAUUGGAUAGAAUGCUUGAAGCACGAGCCUGUUGAAAAUCUUCUUCAGAUUCCUUCUGGAAUUGUGCAGGAGCACUGGCCUGCCUCACUGAAGGAAUAUGUACUCAGCGCUAGAUUACUUGCAUUUCCACGGGAACAAGCAAAGCUAGAAAAGGUAUUACCUGGCAUGAAUAUAGUCCCAUUAAAUAGUGUCCUUUCGGAAGGCAUGAAUCCCAAGAAAAAGCAUGAAGUUGAGGUUUUGUCUUCGCUUGUAAGCUACGUUACGAGAAAUAUAGGUUCUCAUACUGUUAUUGAUGUUGGUGCCGGGCAGGGCUACCUUAGUCAGGUACUUGCCUUCCAGUACCAGCUACCUGUAGUUGCAAUUGACGCUUCUUCUCAUCAUGGAGUUGUUACAAAUACACGUGCCGAGAGAAUAAAAAAGCAUUAUGCGGCUAAGCUACAUAAAUCUGGCAAGGGGCCACCAACUAUGCCUACGACAAUUACAUCGCAUGUAAUGUCCUCUUCUAUGCUGAAAGACCUUAGCAACUACUGCUGCCAGAGAGAUGGACUUGGUAAAAAGGAAUACUCAGGAAAAGGCCCGAACAAUAUUUCUCAUAAAAUUGUUGAGGUUGGAGACUCGCGAUUCUCAUGCAGCGGAGCUAGUGCUGAGAGUAGUUCAUCAGUGGUUCUUGCUGGUCUCCAUGCUUGUGGUGAUUUAUCUGUGACUAUGCUGAGGACGUUUGUGGAGUGCAAGGAAGUGAAGGCGGUGGUUAGUAUAGGGUGUUGCUACAACUUACUAUCAGAAAUUGGAUGUGAAAAUGGUGAUUUCAACUGCGGUUUUCCUAUAAGCAAGGGGAUCAAUUACAUGGGUGUUUCACUUGGUAAAAAUGCACGUGAUCUUGCUUGUCAGAGUGCCGAAAGAUGGCAAAGUUUGGAGAAGGAAGCUGGUAUUCAGAAUUUUGAUUUGCAUGGAUUUCGUGCUGCCUUUCAGAUGACGAGAUAUCCAAAACAACUUUGGAGAUGGACUCUGCAAGUGAUGGAUCUCAAUGCGAUCAUGACGACAGAAAAGGGAGUUUUAAUGAUAAGUAUCCACUUUUUGAGAAAUUCAGCCACUCAGGUCUCUGCCAUCUUUGUAUUGAGCCUCUGCAAGAUAUGGAUUUGCGUGGACUUUGGAGAGAAUAUCAGCCUCUUGCUGUAUGUCUCUUGCAGCCUAGAUUUGUUUUCUCGAAUCAUGCAACCUGCUGUUUCAUGUUCCUUUAGAUGUUCAAUUGUGAUGCUGUUUCAGAAGAUUCAUGCUAGUCUGCUGAAUUUUGACAUGGUGACUAAAAUAUGGCAAAUGAGGGAAAGACUGACUCGUUAUAUUAGCUUUUGUUUUGGCAUAUUGAAAACAGAAGUGAUAGGUUUUGAUAAAUUCUUAUUGGGGGGGGGGGGGGGGGGAGGAGAGUGAAAUGCCAGUAUAGGAAUUUGACAAAUAAAUUAAGCAACAAAGGGUUAUGGUAUAUUAACUAAAUUCCUCAAUUUCCCUAGUGAAGCGUCACCUAUUGUUUUGAAAAAGGUGAAGUAUAUCAAUAUCAGUUUGAAACAUAAUAGAUGUUCAUAGAUAGCAAAGAGCAUCAUGCUUCUAGGUUGAGCUUCAUGCUAUGUGCAGACCUUGUUCAUCAGCCUCAAUCUGUAAAAGUUAUGAGGGUUCGUGCCCGAGUCUCUCAGCUUCUUCGAAUGAAUUAUAUCCUUUUCUGGGGAGCAAUUGUCUAAUGCAGAAAUCUAUCAUCUAUUUGAUCUUGAAAGCAUGUAAUUCCUAUGCGUAAAGAAAGUCUGCUGAAAGUAGAAUUAAAUCAAUUGUGAAUAAUAUUCUCGCGCUUCUCUCUCUGGACUCUCCCGCCAUUGAUGUGGGUUGUGGUUUUCGAACCUGAGCCAUGGCAAAAACUCCCAUCAAAGGGCAAUUCAAGCUACUGUGCAACGAGAGAAACGCCAGAUACCCUCAUCAUCUUCAUUGGAACCAGAUGAACCAAUAGUUAUCGAACUGAUGAAUCCGAUCGAAAAUGGACGAAUUCAAGAAUGGUUAAAUGUUCAAAUGUUGGAUGUAGCAGCAAUUGAAAAAGCUUUUCGCGAUCAAGAAGACAUGAGUAAGUGGCUUAAUGUGCUGAAAAAGGGGGAUGAGUCAUGAGCCUCUGGGUAUCAGACAGGAGAACUCGAAUGGAGGUCCUAAAAUGGCGGACAACAAUGGUGAAACAGGAGCUUAUAGGACCAUACUGGUCUCUGCGAGCUGCUCUGGGGCCUGUCCUGGAAACUCUCUUAUUGCUGGAUCGAUUGCUGUACCUACAGGAGCAAGAAACUGUUGAAGUUCUGAUGUUGCCUAUUUUUCAUCCUGUU
Beta vulgaris subsp. vulgaris (sugar beet) is the source of this 2605-nucleotide RNA transcript. RefSeq lists it as uncharacterized. The transcript is spliced from 11 exons. Lineage: Eukaryota; Viridiplantae; Streptophyta; Magnoliopsida; Caryophyllales; Amaranthaceae. The record is from RefSeq and is a predicted model, not a curated record.